GGACCAUGUACCAAGAAAAAAGAAAAAAAAAGAAAGAACACUUAGGUUCUGUCUCUUCUUCCUCUAUCAUUCUGUUAUGAAGUGUGGCAGUAAACAUCCUUGAACGUGUCUACUUGUGCACGUAUGAGUUCAAGGGUAGGAGCUGAGAAGUGUCAUUGUCCCAUGUUGAAUGGGUGGAGUACGUUAUGUGCAUUUCACAUUUUAGUAGAUGCUGUCACGGUGCCCUACAAGGUGACUGAACCAACUCAUAUUUCUCCUGCAGUGGGACAGAAUCUGUCUCCCCACUUUCAUCAGUCAGUGCUGUCUCUCUAGGGCUGGAUGGUGCGGCUACCUUGUUCACGAAACGUGGGGGAGUCAGUGACAGGCAGGACAGCACAGUGGGGUCACGUGCUCUAGGUCGGCCGCCAGCUGCCUGUGUGAGCUGAGGAAACCCCUGCCCUCUCUGAGCCACAGUUUUCUCGUCUGGACAAUGGAGAUCAUAAGUUUUGUACUUUGCCAGGCUCUUGUGUGGAUGAAAUGAGCCCGUGUGUGCCAAGACCUCAUCAUGGGGCUGGCCCAGGACCGAUGCACAGCACGUGGACUCCCGCCUAUUUGCUGUCUGCAGAGCCCUCAGAUGCCUUCUUUUCCAGAUCAGGCCAAGGAGCGGUGAGGACUAAGCUCUGAUUUUUUUAAUCUUGCCCAAAUUCCUUUCUAAGGGGUCUGGGAAGUCAUGCCCUACAAACCAUAAAUUCUCAUCAGAUAGGUUUUAUUUAACGCUGUAUAUCGUGACUUACUUUCCAAUCUGACUCUGGCAUAACAAGGGAAAAAGUCAACAUCUUUUACUCCAAAAUAUAUUUCCUUGCCAUGAAAUUCCUUCCUUGAAAUGCCUUGGAAUCGCCCUGCAAAGUCUCUUGUGGGAAAAAUCCACAUUCUAUAGAGAAUCCCCUUCCCCUUUGUUUUCCUUCCUUCCUUUCCAGAUCCAGGAGAAAAUCAGCUAAGAGCCAGGCACCCUUUUAAGUCCGAUAAGAAACAUUUUACAACCUGCUCUCUCUGAAGUCUGCUGUCUGAGAGCUUCCUCUGCACAAUAAAACUUGAUCUCCACAAUCUUUUAUCUUAACCUCAACAUUUCCUUUCUAUUAAUCCCAGGUCUUCAGAUAAACUCAACCAAUGGUUGACGAGAAAAUGUUUAAAUUUACCUAUAGCCUGGAGGCCCCCCACCCUUUGAGUUGUCACGCCUUUCUGAACCAAACCAAUGUAUUUCUUAAAUGUAUUUGAUUGAUGUCUCAUGUCUCCCGAAAAUAUAUAAAACCAAGCUUUAUCCCAACCACCUGGAGCACAUGUUCUCAGGACCUCCUGAGGUUUGUGUCACGGGCCAUGGUUACUCAUAUUUGGCUCAGAAUGAAUCUCUUGGCUGGGUGCAGUGGCUCACACUUGUAAUCCCAGCACUUUGGGAGGCUGAGGUGGGCGGAUCAUGAGGUUAGGAGAUUGAGACCAUACUGGCCAACAUGGUGAAAAUAAAAAUACAAAAAUUAGCUGGGCGUGGUGGCGGGCGCCUGUGGUCCCAGCUAUGCGGGAGGCUGAGGCAUGAGAAUCACUUGAACCUGGGAGGCAGAGGUUGCAGUGAACUGAGAUCGCACCACUGCACUCCAGCCUGGCGACAGAGAGAGACUCCAUUUUAAAACAAACAAACAAACAAACAAACAAAAAACUCUUAAAAUAUUUUACAGAGUUUGACUCUUUUGUCAACAGGGAGUAGCACAGUUCCUCCCCUUUUAACUUCUGUCAACCACAAUGAUUAACAUGGCAAUCAGACCAGAGCUUUCACCACGGGAUCACUGCCUGAAGAAACAAGGCUAAAUGGAAGCAAGCAUAUGGAUUAAAACUGAAAAUGGGCCGGGCAUGGUGGCUCAUGCCGAUAAUCCCAGCACUUUGGGAGGCUGAGGCGAGAGGUUCACUUGAGCCCAGGAGUUACCAGCCUGGGCAACACGGCAAAACCCUGUUUCUUCAAAAACUACAGAAAGUAGCCAAGCAUGAUGGCGCAUGCCUGUAGUCCCAGCUACUUGGGAGGCUGAGGUGGGAGGAUGGAUUGAACUGGGGAGGUCGAGAGAGGAAGCAGUAAGCCGAGAUCACACCACUGCACUGCAGCCUGGGUGACAGAGCAAGACCCUGUCUCAAAGAAAAAAAAAAAACUGAAAAUGGGGCACUUCUAUACAUAUGUAUUUUUU
This 2204-nucleotide long non-coding RNA is filed under the name Homo sapiens (human). RNAcentral describes it as "HSALNT0156335". Lineage: Eukaryota; Metazoa; Chordata; Mammalia; Primates; Hominidae. The record is from RNAcentral.